This 254-nucleotide ribosomal RNA is filed under the name uncultured bacterium. RNAcentral's name for it is "partial 16S ribosomal RNA". It matches the Rfam family "Bacterial small subunit ribosomal RNA", at positions 524 to 776 of the family's 1533-position model. The record is from RNAcentral.
CACGUAGGGGGCGAGCGUUGUCCGGAAUCAUUGGGCGUAAAGAGCUCGUAGGCGGCUCAGUAAGUCGGGUGUGAGACCCCCAGGCUCAACCUGGGGACGCCACCCGAUACUGCUGUGGCUAGAGUCCAGUAGGGGAGUGUGGAAUUCCCGGUGUAGCGGUGAAAUGCGCAGAUAUCGGGAGGAACACCAGCGGCGAAGGCGGCACUCUGGGCUGGAACUGACGCUGAGGAGCGAAAGCGUGGGUAGCAAAUAGG